GAUGAAGAACGUAGCGAAAUGCGAUAAGUAAUGUGAAUUGCAGAAUUCAGUGAAUCAUCGAAUCUUUGAACGCACAUUGCGCCCCUUGGUAUUCCGGGGGGCAUGCCUCUUCCAGCGUCAUUUCACCCCUCAAGCUCUGCUUGGUUUUGGGCCGCGCCGGCAACGGCGGGCCUCGAAAAUAGUGGCGACGCCAUCGUGCUCUCAGCGUAGUAAUUCUUCUCGCUGUUGGGUCCCGGUGGUCGUCCGCCAGCAACCCCCAACUUUCUUAAGUUUAACCUGGGAUGAGGUAGGGAUACCCGCUGAACUUAAGCAUAUCAAUAAGCGGAGGA
Molecule: unclassified non-coding RNA, 329 nt
Filed under: soil metagenome
Description: partial contains 5.8S ribosomal RNA, internal transcribed spacer 2, and large subunit ribosomal RNA
Rfam family: 5.8S ribosomal RNA (bases 1-120)
Source: RNAcentral